UGGGGAAUCAUGGUCAAUGGGCGAAAGCCUGAACCUGCGACGCCGCGUGAGUGAUGAAGGUCGUAAGAUCGUAAAACUCUUUUCAGGGAUCUUAAAGCACAACCGUCAACAACUGCUGUGUGUGACUCUCCCUGGAAGAAGCCCCAGCCAACUACGUGCCAGCAGCUGCGGUAAUACGUAGGGGGCGAGCGUUAUUCGGAAUUACUGGGUGUAAAGGGUAUGUAGGCGGCCCUUCAAGUCGCGUGUCAAAGUCCAGUGCUCAACGCUGGGUGUGCGCGCGAUACUGACGGGCUUGAGGGCUGUAGAGGUGAGCGGAAUUCCCGGUGUAGUGGUAAAAUACGUAGAGAUCGGGAGGAACACCAGCGGCGCAGGCGGCUCACUAGACAGUGUCUGACGCUAAGAUACGAAAGCGUGGGGAGCAAACA
RNAcentral lists this ribosomal RNA (425 nucleotides) under uncultured prokaryote. RNAcentral's name for it is "bacterial SSU rRNA". It matches the Rfam family "Bacterial small subunit ribosomal RNA", at positions 355 to 774 of the family's 1533-position model. The record is from RNAcentral.